This 458-nucleotide ribosomal RNA is filed under the name uncultured Glomus. RNAcentral describes it as "SSU rRNA". It matches the Rfam family "Eukaryotic small subunit ribosomal RNA", at positions 569 to 1033 of the family's 1831-position model. The record is from RNAcentral. Lineage: Eukaryota; Fungi; Glomeromycota; Glomeromycetes; Glomerales; Glomeraceae.
AGCAGCCGCGGUAAUUCCAGCUCCAAUAGCGUAUAUUAAAGUUGUUGCAGUUAAAAAGCUCGUAGUUGAAUUUCGGGAUCAAGGAAUCGGUCAUGCCUCGGUAUGUACUGGUUUUAUUGGUUCUCACCUUCUAAAGAACCAUGAUGUCAUUCAUUUGAUGUUAUGGGGAAUUAGGACUGUUACCUUGAAAAAUUAGAGUGUUUAAAGCAGGCUUACGCUUGAAUACAUUAGCAUGGAAUAAUGAAAUAGGACAUCAGAUUCUAUUUUGUUGGUUUCUAGGAUCGAUGUAAUGAUUAAUAGGGAUAGUUGGGGGCAUUAGUAUUCAAUUGUCAGAGGUGAAAUUCUUGGAUUUAUUGAAGACUAACUACUGCGAAAGCAUUUGCCAAGGAUGUUUUCAUUAAUCAAGAACGAAAGUUAGGGGAUCGAAGACGAUCAGAUACCGUCGUAGUCUUAACCAU